GUCCAGGUAGCUCAGCGUUAGAGCGACAGGUUGAGAACCUGCAGGUCGGGAGUUCAACUCUCCCCCUGGACA
Molecule: non-coding RNA, 72 nt
Organism: Candidatus Jorgensenbacteria bacterium
Lineage: Bacteria; Candidatus Joergenseniibacteriota
Source: Rfam